GACGAACGCUGGCGGCGUGCUUAACACAUGCAAGUCGAACGGAAAGGCCCUGCUUUUGUGGGUUUCUCGAUUGGCGAACGGGUGAGUAACACGUGUGUAACCUCUCCUUGACUUUGGGAUAACUUCAGGAAACUGGGGCUAAUACCGCAUAUGAUCUCCUGCUCCACGGUGUGGGUUGGAAAGUUUCGGCUGUUGGGGAUGGACUCGCGGCUUAUCAGCUUGUUUGUGGGGUAGUGGCUUACCAAGGUUUUGACGGGUAGCCGGCCUGAGAGGGUGACCGGCCACAUUGGGACUGAGGUACGGCCCAGACUCCUACGGGAGGCAGCAGUGGGGAGUAUUGCACAAUGGGCGGAAGCCUGAUGCAGCAACGCCGCGUGCGGGAUGACGGCCUUCGGGUUGUAAACCGCUUUCGCCUGUGACGAAGCGUGAGUGACGGUAAUGGGUAAGGAAGCACCGGCUAACUACGUG
Molecule: ribosomal RNA, 468 nt
Filed under: uncultured bacterium
Lineage: Bacteria
Description: partial 16S ribosomal RNA
Rfam family: Bacterial small subunit ribosomal RNA
Source: RNAcentral